This 26-nucleotide non-coding RNA is filed under the name Rattus norvegicus (Norway rat). The record is from RNAcentral. Lineage: Eukaryota; Metazoa; Chordata; Mammalia; Rodentia; Muridae.
GAAGAAAGUUGACCCUACACUUCCAG